This 303-nucleotide long non-coding RNA is filed under the name Elaeis guineensis (African oil palm). RNAcentral's name for it is "long non-coding RNA (EGUI_LNC066992)". Lineage: Eukaryota; Viridiplantae; Streptophyta; Magnoliopsida; Arecales; Arecaceae. The record is from RNAcentral.
GGGUGUUAAAUAAUAGGUGCAAGGGCUCCAAGAGUUGGCACCUAAUAGGAUUCUUAAUGUAAAUUAAAUAACUUAAGUUAUUAGGAAACCUAAUGCAAGUAGGACUUGUAUUAUGAGAUUGAAUUGGAUUCAAUCCUCAUGCUUAUUUAAAGAAACCUCCUCUAAGGUCCCUAGAGAAUCUAACCAGCACUCCACAUGCCGCAAAGGAGACUCCCAUGCCCUCUCUUUCUCUUCCUUUCUCUUCUCCCCUUGGGCGUCCCACACUCCCCAUCCUUUGGGACGUCCCAAGCUCUUCCACACCCA